UUGUUAAUAUUUUUGUAAUCAGAUAAAAUACAGUAUCUUGUGGUUGUGUUAUUCAUCUAUACUUUAUUGUUGGUGAUAAAUCUUUCUCCGACUGAUUGACUUGUUCUAUCUGUUUUCUUGUGAUUUUGUGGGUGAUUGCUGACAAGAAAAUUAUCGUCUGAAAAUUGAACGGAUACUUUGAAUAUUUACAUUAGAGUACUGAACGUAUGUGAGAUCUAUUGUACCUGUGGUAUCUAAAAUGGAUAAGAAUUUUCUUUAUUAAAUUUGGAAUGGUAAAAGGUUCAAUUUCGAAACAUUGUAG
Molecule: unclassified non-coding RNA, 301 nt
Filed under: Hevea brasiliensis (rubber tree)
Lineage: Eukaryota; Viridiplantae; Streptophyta; Magnoliopsida; Malpighiales; Euphorbiaceae
Source: RNAcentral